CAUUGAGUGGCUGAAAUUUUUAAGCGUUGGUCUCUUAAACCAAAUAAUAGUAAUAUAAAACAUACUCUUAAUGG
This 74-nucleotide transfer RNA is filed under the name Megacopta cribriella. Its description in RNAcentral is "tRNA-Lys". Lineage: Eukaryota; Metazoa; Arthropoda; Insecta; Hemiptera; Plataspidae. The record is from RNAcentral.